GAAGGGCUAGUUAAAAUAAUAAUUUGUGUUUGUCGGGCACAGGUUGCUGGUUUGGUUCAGCGUUCUUUU
RNAcentral lists this transfer RNA (69 nucleotides) under Diodora graeca. Its description in RNAcentral is "tRNA-Asp". Lineage: Eukaryota; Metazoa; Mollusca; Gastropoda; Lepetellida; Fissurellidae. The record is from RNAcentral.